RNAcentral lists this long non-coding RNA (508 nucleotides) under Equus caballus (horse). RNAcentral's name for it is "lncRNA (ENSECAG00000059923.1)". Lineage: Eukaryota; Metazoa; Chordata; Mammalia; Perissodactyla; Equidae. The record is from RNAcentral.
CUGUCUCCAUCCUCACUGUGCUCCCCUGGUCCCUCCCUCCUGGGACUCCUGCCAUAGGGAAGGGCGUGCAGACAGGGGAGGGAGUCCUGUCAGGGAAGGGCGUGCAGUCAGGGGAGGGAGUCCAGUCAGGGGAGGACGUGCAGACAGGAGCAUUCAGGCCAGGAGCAGUCUCGGGGCUUGGGUGGCUUAUACUUCUCUCAUUUGUUUUUCUUUUUCCUUUCUAACGCUUACUGUUAAAGGAGCACAAUUUUAUCAGUUCACCUGAGUGACUGAGGCUUAUCUUUCUUUUUUUUUCCCCAAAGCCCCCCUGUGCGUAGCUGUAUAUUCUAGUUGUGAGUGCCUCUAGUUGUAGCAUGUGGAACGCUGGCUCAGCACGGCCUGAUGAGGGCACCAUGUCUGCACCCAGGAUCUGAACCAGUGGACCCUGGGCCACCAAAGCAGAAGGCGCAAACUUCACCACUCGGCCCUGGGGCCGGCCCCCAAGGAAAGCUUAUCUUAAAAGUUAUGA